Molecule: ribosomal RNA, 584 nt
Filed under: Macrophomina phaseolina
Lineage: Eukaryota; Fungi; Ascomycota; Dothideomycetes; Botryosphaeriales; Botryosphaeriaceae
Description: eukaryotic LSU rRNA
Rfam family: 5.8S ribosomal RNA (bases 214-367)
Source: RNAcentral
UCCGUAGGUGAACCUGCGGAAGGAUCAUUACCGAGUUGAUUCGGGCUCCGUCCCGAUCCUCCCACCCUUUGUAUACCUACCUCUGUUGCUUUGGCGGGCCGCGGUCUUCCGCGGCCGCCCCCCGAUUUUGGGGGGUGGCUAGUGCCCGCCAGAGGACUAUCAAACUCCAGUCAGUAAACGUUGCAGUCUGAAAAAAAAUAUUAAAUAAACUAAAACUUUCAACAACGGAUCUCUUGGUUCUGGCAUCGAUGAAGAACGCAGCGAAAUGCGAUAAGUAAUGUGAAUUGCAGAAUUCAGUGAAUCAUCGAAUCUUUGAACGCACAUUGCGCCCCUUGGUAUUCCGGGGGGCAUGCCUGUUCGAGCGUCAUUUCAACCCUCAAGCUCUGCUUGGUAUUGGGCACCGUCCUUUGCGGGCGCGCCUCAAAGACCUCGGCGGUGGCGUCUUGCCUCAAGCGUAGUAGAAUACACCUCGCUUCGGAGCGUAAGGCGUCGCCCGCCGGACGAACCUUCUGAACUUUUCUCAAGGUUGACCUCGGAUCAGGUAGGGAUACCCGCUGAACUUAAGCAUAUCAAUAAGCGGAGGA